CUUUACUAUAGCUUUGCACUGGACUUUGAAUUUGCUUGUGUAGGAUAGGUGGGAGGCUUUGAAGCGUGGACGCCAGUCUGCGUGGAGCCAUCCUUGAAAUACCACCCUGGCAACUUUGAGGUUCUAACUCAGGUCCGUUAUCCGGAUCGAGGACAGUGUAUGGUGGGUAGUUUGACUGGGGCGGUCUCCUCCUAAAGAGUAACGGAGGAGUACGAAGGUGCGCUCAGACCGGUCGGAAAUCGGUCGUAGAGUAUAAAGGCAAAAGCGCGCUUGACUGCGAGACAGACACGUCGAGCAGGUACGAAAGUAGGUCUUAGUGAUCCGGUGGUUCUGUAUGG
This 338-nucleotide ribosomal RNA is filed under the name Nephroselmis pyriformis. RNAcentral describes it as "partial Bacterial large subunit ribosomal RNA". It matches the Rfam family "Bacterial large subunit ribosomal RNA", at positions 2099 to 2436 of the family's 2925-position model. The record is from RNAcentral. Lineage: Eukaryota; Viridiplantae; Chlorophyta; Nephroselmidophyceae; Nephroselmidales; Nephroselmidaceae.